GACGAACGCUGGCGGCGUGCUUAACACAUGCCAGUCGAACGGAAAGGCCCAGCUUGCUGUGUGCUCGAGUGGCGAACGGGCGAAUAACACGUGGGUGAUCCGCCUCUAACUUCGGGAUAAUCUUGAGAAACUGGGUCUAAUACCAGAAAAUACAAUAGGUUAUUGUUUAUUAUGGAAAGCUUUUUCGGUUAGGGAUGAGCACGCGGCCUAUUAGCUUGUUGGUGGGGUAAUGGCCUACCAAGGCGUCGAAGGGUAGGCGGCCUGAGAGGGUGGACGGCAAAAUGGGGAGAGUGCUACGGGCGAGAGUCCUACGGGAGACAGCAGUGGGGAUUAUUGCAUAAUGGGCGCAAGCCUGAUGAAGCGACGCCGCGUUGUGGAUUAUGAACUUCGUGUGUUAAGCGUCUUUCGACAGGGACGAAGCUUUGGUGACGGUACCUUUAUAAGAAGCACCGGCUAACUCCGUG
Molecule: ribosomal RNA, 464 nt
Filed under: uncultured bacterium
Lineage: Bacteria
Description: partial 16S ribosomal RNA
Rfam family: Bacterial small subunit ribosomal RNA
Source: RNAcentral